RNAcentral lists this long non-coding RNA (221 nucleotides) under Elaeis guineensis (African oil palm). Its description in RNAcentral is "long non-coding RNA (EGUI_LNC025795)". The record is from RNAcentral. Lineage: Eukaryota; Viridiplantae; Streptophyta; Magnoliopsida; Arecales; Arecaceae.
CUCCUUCUUGAUUUGAACUAUUUCAAAGAUGAGAAGUAGGAGAAGAGUUUUAGAUGUGAGACACUCUCAGAAAACUCAUAGAUGGAGAAAGAAAAGAGGUGAACUCAGCAACCCUAGAGAAGACCCUCUUCUUCUUCUCUUUGUUCUCACCUAGACACUUAGUUUUGUGUCUAUUAUAUCUCCAUGCCCUAACACCCUUUCUCUCUGAAUUUUACAUACCC